AGGAUGAACGCUGGCGGCGUGCCUAAUACAUGCAAGUCGAACGAGUCCUUCGGGACGAGUGGCGGACGGGUGAGUAACACGUUGGUACCUGCCCCGAAGUGGGGAAUAACUGCCCGAAAGGGUGGCUAAUACCGCAUAAUACCGCAAGGUUAAAGCAGUAAUGCGCUUCGGGAGGGGCCUGCGUCCCAUUAGCUAGUUGGUAGGGUAAUGGCCUACCAAGGCGACGAUGGGUAGCUGGAUCGAGAGGUUGACCAGCCACACUGGGACUGAGAUACGGCCCAGACUCCUACGGGAGGCAGCAGUAAGGAAUCUUCACAAUGGACGAAAGUCUGAUGGAGCAACGCCGCGUGCAGGAUGACGGUCUUCGGAUUGUAAACUGCUUUUAUAUGGGAAGAUUAUGACGGUACAUAUGAAUAAGGACCGGCUAACUACGCGCCAGCAGCCGC
This 446-nucleotide ribosomal RNA is filed under the name uncultured bacterium. RNAcentral describes it as "SSU rRNA". It matches the Rfam family "Bacterial small subunit ribosomal RNA", at positions 26 to 518 of the family's 1533-position model. The record is from RNAcentral.